This 547-nucleotide unclassified non-coding RNA is filed under the name Hevea brasiliensis (rubber tree). The record is from RNAcentral. Lineage: Eukaryota; Viridiplantae; Streptophyta; Magnoliopsida; Malpighiales; Euphorbiaceae.
UGUUUUUGAUAACUUCAGUGCAAACGUGGUAGUUGAAGGAACCACAGUCAACUUGGGCCUCUGGGAUACAGCUGGACAAGAAGAUUAUAAUAGAUUAAGGCCCUUGAGUUACAGAGGGGCUGAUGUUUUCGUGUUAGCUUUCUCUCUAGUUAGUCGGGCAAGCUAUGAAAAUGUACUUAAAAAGUGGGUUCCUGAGCUUCAGCAUUAUGCUCCAGGAGUCCCAGUGGUACUGGUUGGCACCAAAUUGGAUCUUCGUGAGGAUAAACACUAUUUGGCUGAUCAUCCUGGAUUGGUACCUGUGACCACCGCACAGGGGGAGGAACUCCGCAAACAGAUUGGUGCAGCAUAUUAUAUUGAAUGCAGCUCAAAAACUCAACAGAAUGUGAAAGCUGUUUUUGAUUCGGCGAUCAAGGUAGUUAUUAAACCAGCACAGAAACAAAAAGAGAAGAAGAAAAAGCCAAAUCGAGGAUGCCUAUUAAAUAUCUUUUGUGGGAGGAAGCUAGUGUGUCUCAGAUGAAUGCAGCUUCCUCUGAAUGUCACUCACUCA